GACGAACGCUGGCGGCGUGCCUAAUACAUGCAAGUUGAGCGCUGAAGGUUGGUACUUGUACCAACUGGAUGAGCAGCGAACGGGUGAGUAACGCGUGGGGAAUCUGCCUUUGAGCGGGGGACAACAUUUGGAAACGAAUGCUAAUACCGCAUAAAAACUUUAAACACAAGUUUUAAGUUUGAAAGAUGCAAUUGCAUCACUCAAAGAUGAUCCCGCGUUGUAUUAGCUAGUUGGUGAGGUAAAGGCUCACCAAGGCGAUGAUACAUAGCCGACCUGAGAGGGUGAUCGGCCACAUUGGGACUGAGACACGGCCCAAACUCCUACGGGAGGCAGCAGUAGGGAAUCUUCGGCAAUGGACGGAAGUCUGACCGAGCAACGCCGCGUGAGUGAAGAAGGUUGUCGGAUCGUAAAACUCUGUUGGUAGAGAAGAACGUUGGUGAGAGUGGAAAGCUCAUCAAGUGACGGUAACUACCCAGAAAGGGACGGCUAACUACGUG
RNAcentral lists this ribosomal RNA (497 nucleotides) under uncultured bacterium. Its description in RNAcentral is "partial 16S ribosomal RNA". It matches the Rfam family "Bacterial small subunit ribosomal RNA", at positions 28 to 507 of the family's 1533-position model. The record is from RNAcentral.